Molecule: ribosomal RNA, 406 nt
Filed under: uncultured bacterium
Lineage: Bacteria
Description: partial 16S ribosomal RNA
Rfam family: Bacterial small subunit ribosomal RNA
Source: RNAcentral
AUUGAACGCUGGCGGCAGGCCUAACACAUGCAAGUCGAACGAGUGGCGGACGGGUGAGUAAUGUCUGGGAAACUGCCUGAUGGAGGGGGAUAACUCCUGGAAACGGUAGCUAAUACCGCAUACCAUCGGAUGUGCCCAGAUGGGAUUAGCUAGGAGGUGGGGUAAAGGCUACACUAGGCGACGGUCCCUAGCUGGUCUGAGAGGAUGACCCGCCACAAUGGAACUGAGACACGGUCCAGACUCCUUCGGGAGGCAGGCGGUGGGAAUAUUGCACAAUGGGCGGAAGCCUUAUGCAGCCAGGCCGGGUGUAUUAAAGAUGCCCUCGGGUUGUAAAGUACUUUCAGCGGGGAGGCGUUACCCGCAGAAGAAGCACCGGCUAACUCCGUGCCAGCAGCCGCGGUAAUAC